UUUAGAUUAUUCUUUAUAAUAAUCUUUUGUUCUAUUUUUAUGUUCUGUAAAGCUGCUUUGAGACAAUGUCAAUUGUAAAAAGCGCUUUACAAAUAAACUUGAAUUGAAUUGAAUUGAACUGAGAGCUUCUGAUUAAAAUCAGACUUUUACAAAGACAUAUGUGUUCAGACAUACCUUUCUGCUCAGUAUGGUUCCAAGGAAACAUUUUUUCCUAUACUGUAUAAGUCUUCCUAAUAAAAAUGACUGGUGUAUUUAUGUAUACAGGGUGUCCUACAGUAUAAAUACAUUUUAAUGGCUGUUUGCCAGUGAGUGAUGAAUUAAAUUGUUUAAUUAAAACAAAUUGAAAAACCUUUGAGCUUUGGUUACUAUGAAAAUGCGUGUUAUAGUGUGUGUAAAUCUGCAAUAUUAAGAUCUGGGCUUGAGUAAUUUUAUGCAUGGCAACUGACAGGGACUGGGAGAAUUCAGCCUUGCAGCCUCACACACAUUCCAUGGUAUACACCCUUAACAAAUUUGACCAUUGUCCACCUUCUGUAAUGUACACUCACUGACCAAUUUAUUAGAAACAUCUGCUCAUUUAUGCAAAUAUAUAAUAUCCACUCAUGUGGCAGCAGUGCACUGUAUAAAAGCAUGCUGAUAAAGGUGAAGAGCUUCAGUUACUGUUAGCACCUUGCUGUUCACAUCAGACAUCACAAUAGAGACAAAUGGGAUGCUUUGGGUGAAUAGACAAAUGAAAGGUGACCCACACACAAUCCUAUAAUUUUAAAUUAAAUCACGUCAUUUCUUUAGUCCACAAAUGAAAUUUUGCCAUUGUCCUUUGAAUUAAAAAAAAAGCUUAUUUCUACUCCAUUCAUGGAGUAGAAAUAAGCUUUUUUUUAUUUAUUCAAAGGACAAUCGCAAAAUUUACAUCGUUACAGCUUCUAGUUUAUAUGAAGUUAAUUCUGCGAGCAGCUAGUGCUAUGAUUUAUAGGGACUGAAGUGACCCUCAGAUAAUGAUAAACUAAUACUUUUAGCUGUUUUUCAUAGUAUGUUUUUUUUUUAAAGUACAUUUUUUAUAGCAUUCUAAUAUUUCUCUUCUGUUUCCAUUUUGUAGGUAAUAAUCAUAUGUAAGGUAUGCAAAUGGCAUGCAACUCAUGAGAGAGAGGACCCUUGGAAUUAGCCCACCAGACUGGCCAAACAACUAAAAGAGAUCCAUAGGGAAUGGCUUAACCACUUGGCAUACUACAUGGAGUAGUGCGCUGCCUUUACUGAUCACUCUAGCCUCUUACCUGUUACUGUUCAGGAACCACCAUUACCCACUGAGGUGCCUACAGUACCACCAAGUGGCUGUUGAGCGUUUAUGGGAAGGCCAUCAUGGAUCAUAUUUAGGCCAACAUUACCUCAAAGAUUGGGAGCAUUUUAAGAAUGGAUUCAACAAAAAAGAGAGAUCCUCAUCAGUGUCAUCACUGCCCAAGAAGGGCCUGGACUCCAUGGUGUCAGGUUUGAUCAGCAGGUAACAGCCAGCAGGGGUUGCUCUUCUGGUGCUGCUGUAUGUGGAUUCUGGACAGAAUGUGGAUUCUGGAUCAGUCUGGAUGUGAUGUGGCACACACAGUUCAAGUUAAAUAAAGACACAAUACAGUUGGGAAAGUUCUUUAUUUAGUUUGUUUUACUUUUGAAGCAGUCACAUGAAAGGUGCACAUUCCAUGCUGACUGCUAGUAACAUCCAAAUUAAGGUGAAAUCAAGAAAUGUUUGUAUUAAUGUGAAUGUUUGUCUUACCGAUUCAGGAAAGGCCUAAAAGGGAGUGGCCCGCGAACAGGAAGCCAGUGUUAUAGCAUCCUGAAGGGGAGGAGUCAUCUGAUCAAACAGGCAAGGAUUAUAAAUGUAUUGUAUGUAGAGAUUUCAGUGAUUUGUUAAAGGAUAAUGCCUUUGAUUACAGGUAGACUUUAUUUUGGGUGUGACUUGUAAAGUGAUAAGAUCUAGAAAUAUAGUGUUGCUAACAAAUGGAGUGUUAUGAUUGGUCCGUUUGAAUCUGAAGGGAGGGGACCAGGAUGAUUAAAGGACAAAGGAAAUGCUGCAGAGAGAGAGAGGGAUGUUGGUUGGAACAGUAGCCAACAAUUUAGUUAUUCCCUUUUGUGUUUUGUUAAGUGUUGAGUUGUACUUUGAAUAGUUUUUUUUUUAUUUGUUCAUUUUUUGGUAAAUUUUGAUUUUUCAAUGGAGAUUUUGCUUUGGCUUCUUUCACACCUGUCUGAGAAUGGUGGCUCACAUAAAUAAAAAGACACUUCAUUGGAUUUUUCCAGAGUUUUGCCAUUUCUUUUGCUGCCAGUUAGCCACUGCACCGACCAUCCUACCACACUGGACAUCUGGCACUUUUUGCUGCAACUGGAAACAGGGUGCACUAGUGUCGGCAUGCAUCUUUGAGUAGGACCGGUAGGACACUGCUCUUUUGUGUCGGACAGAGUGCAUAUAGAGGAGGAAAAGACCUGCAAAGGAAACACUUCAAACACCCUGAAUUUUCAUCUGUAUCUCCUGGAAUGCCUGUGCAGGUGGAAGCAGGACUGGGAAUCAGCUUCCAUCCUCCCUCCUUACCGACGCAAGAGGAGGUGGUUCCCUGUUUUAACACAAACAGUCUGA
Molecule: long non-coding RNA, 2608 nt
Organism: Tachysurus fulvidraco (yellow catfish)
Lineage: Eukaryota; Metazoa; Chordata; Actinopteri; Siluriformes; Bagridae
Exons: 3
Source: RefSeq, a predicted model, not a curated record